Molecule: unclassified non-coding RNA, 165 nt
Filed under: rhizosphere metagenome
Description: partial ribosomal RNA internal transcribed spacer region
Source: RNAcentral
GAAUACACUGGACGCUCUUUUUAGAGGUCCGACCAAAUCAUUACCUUCACACUGUGCACACACUUCUUUUUCACCCAUUUUAAACACAUUAGUAUAAGAAUGUACCAGUCUCUUAAUUGAGCAUAAAUAUAAAAUAAAACUUUCAGCAACGGAUCUCUUGGCUCU